Molecule: ribosomal RNA, 253 nt
Filed under: uncultured bacterium
Lineage: Bacteria
Description: partial 16S ribosomal RNA
Rfam family: Bacterial small subunit ribosomal RNA
Source: RNAcentral
UACGAAGGGGGCUAGCGUUGCUCGGAAUCACUGGGCGUAAAGCGCACGUAGGCGGCUUUUUAAGUCAGGGGUGAAAUCCUGGAGCUCAACUCCAGAACUGCCUUUGAUACUGAGAAGCUUGAGUCCGGGAGAGGUGAGUGGAACUGCGAGUGUAGAGGUGAAAUUCGUAGAUAUUCGCAAGAACACCAGUGGCGAAGGCGGCUCACUGGCCCGGUACUGACGCUGAGGAGCGAAAGCCAGGGGAGCAAACGGG